UACGUAGGGUCCGAGCGUUGUCCGGAGUGACUGGGCGUAAAGCGCGCGCAGGCGGCCUGCGAGGUGUCCUGUGAAAGCCCCGUGCUCAACGCGGGAGGGUCAGGGCAAACCGGCAGCUUGAGGCCGGUAGAGGUGGGUGGAACUCCUGGUGGAGUGGUGAAAUGCGUAGAGAUCAGGAAGAACACCCGUGGCGAAGGCGGCCCACUGGGCCGGACCUGACGCUGAGGCGCGAAGGCGUGGGGAGCGAACGGG
RNAcentral lists this ribosomal RNA (252 nucleotides) under uncultured bacterium. RNAcentral's name for it is "partial 16S ribosomal RNA". It matches the Rfam family "Bacterial small subunit ribosomal RNA", at positions 524 to 776 of the family's 1533-position model. The record is from RNAcentral.